UAGCCACGGUAACACCAGCUUCCCCGAGUGGUCGGGACGAUUAUUGGGCCUAAAGCGUCCGUAGCCGGUCCGGUAAGUCCUCUGUUAAAUCCAGCGAUCCAAUCGCUGGACUGCAGGGGAUACUGCUGGACUAGGGGGCGGAAGAGGCUGGCGGUAUUCCCGAGGGAGGGCGAAAAUCCUAAGAUCUCGGGAGGACCACCAGUGGCGAAGGC
RNAcentral lists this ribosomal RNA (212 nucleotides) under uncultured archaeon. Its description in RNAcentral is "partial 16S ribosomal RNA". It matches the Rfam family "Archaeal small subunit ribosomal RNA", at positions 462 to 673 of the family's 1478-position model. The record is from RNAcentral.